Molecule: ribosomal RNA, 253 nt
Filed under: uncultured bacterium
Lineage: Bacteria
Description: partial 16S ribosomal RNA
Rfam family: Bacterial small subunit ribosomal RNA
Source: RNAcentral
UACGUAGGGGGCAAGCGUUGUACGGAAUUAUUGGGCGUAAAGCGCGCGUAGGCGGUUACGUAAGUUGGAUGUGAAAGGCUACGGCUCAACCGUAGAGCGGCAUCCAAAACUGCGUAACUUGAGUGCAGGAGAGGAGAGUGGAAUUCCCGGUGUAGCGGUGGAAUGCGUAGAGAUCGGGAGGAACACCAGUGGCGAAGGUGACUCUCGGGCCUGUAACUGACGCUGAGGUGCGAAAGCGUGGGGAGCGAACAGG